UAGUGUUGUAAGAGUUCCCUCCUGAAAAGGAUGAUGCUGCCUAUUGGCAGGCGUGACGAAGUAGGGUGGGGUUCACUA
This 78-nucleotide non-coding RNA is filed under the name unclassified sequences. Its description in RNAcentral is "DUF3800-X RNA". It matches the Rfam family "DUF3800-X RNA". The record is from Rfam by way of RNAcentral.